This 18-nucleotide small nuclear RNA is filed under the name Arabidopsis thaliana (thale cress). RNAcentral's name for it is "snRNA_07780". Lineage: Eukaryota; Viridiplantae; Streptophyta; Magnoliopsida; Brassicales; Brassicaceae. The record is from RNAcentral.
AUAAACGUGAUAAUUAAA